Long non-coding RNA from Diorhabda carinulata, 4357 nucleotides. RefSeq lists it as uncharacterized. Lineage: Eukaryota; Metazoa; Arthropoda; Insecta; Coleoptera; Chrysomelidae. The transcript is spliced from 3 exons. The record is from RefSeq and is a predicted model, not a curated record.
AGUAACCAUGAUGAUUUCGAAUCAUUGAUACCUUUGUGCUCAAAUUGAAGUAUGUCUGCUGUUUUAUUAUGCCUAAGAGACUCAAUUUAUGACAUAUUCUAUAAGAUGAUCUGAGCUACAAAUUUUUUAAUGAAGAAUAAUUUGGACAGUAAGGAAAGGAAUGAAAAACUGAAGAAAAACAUUAUUAAAAUAAAAAUAAAAUACUGUGGACUCUACCAAAAUCACUACUGGUCUUUAGUUAAGUCAUCACUAGCAGUGAUGCUUUCCAUUUUUUCGGUGAAAUUCCAAGAAGUACGCAGAUUGAGGACUUGAAAUCAACCAAGUUUGUAUUUGUGUAGACGCUCUAUUGUUAAAAAGUGUACAAAAAGCUUUGGAAUAUCCCUGAUUAGUUAAUAGUUCUAGAAUGACCCGAUUAUUGCUUUAUUCGUAUUGUUAGAAUAAAAUAUAUAAGCUGACUUGAUUUCUAGAACAUUCACAAAGAUAUUAGAGCUUUUCGCGUCAAUAUUGAGAGAAAUUAUUUCUUUGAACAAAGCGUGAAAUUUACAGGAGUGCAUCAAUCUUCCAUAUUCUUCUAACCAAAAAACUGACGAAUUCUCAUUCAUAGUCUCAACAUAAGUUAGAAAUACUUGUUACCAAACAAUAGCGAUAAAUUGCCCGCGUGCAACCGAACUCUGGAUAUAAAACUUUCUUACAUAAAAUUCCAUUGAGUCGUGCCUUCUCCACUAAGUAGUCACUUCUAUUUUGGUUACUUACUCAGUAUUUGCAGGAUCCUCUUCAAGAUAUGUAGUUAGGUUUCCAUUUAAAUAGGGAUUGUAUAUUAUAUCGUUGGGUCGCUGUAUAUGAGCUCCAAAGAAUGUAUCAUUACAUGCAUCAAUUUUCAAAGGAAGAUACGGCGUAGGUGGUUUAGAUACUACAAAUGCUCCAAUGGCUAUCCAGAAAGUUAUUAAAUGUCCAAUUAUAAUUCCAAAUGCUGCACCCUGUGAACAAAUUUAUUAUACAUAAUCAAUUAUAUUACUACAAAGUUAUUUCUCUCAAUUUCAUUCAAUAUAUAUUAUUAUUCUGAUGGUAAUGUAUCAAAGGAUAAUUUUAAUUGGAAAAUUGUGUUGAAUAGUGAACUUAUCUUGUACUAACUUUAAAACUGAAUUUCAAUUGAAUUGACAAUUAAAUUUAUUUAGUGGUAGGAAGUAUUAUUCUUCAAUGGAUAAGUACCACUUUAUUGCAAACAAAAAAAAGAUUGAAAAGCACAUAAUUAACAAUAACCAAAGCGUCCAGAGGGGGAAGCCUGAAAUUUUCACCAGUGUUAAACUAAUUACUUUUGAUGUCGCAGAAAAGAAGCAAAAUGUAUCAAAAAAUCUGGGAUUGGACCAUGCAACUUCAAAGUAACCAAUUUCAAUCAUCUGGAUGUGAAGGUCGAUGGAAAAAACUAUGAUAAGACCGAAAUUACAGAUACAACACCAGUGGAGGAGAAAGAAUAGGUACUGAUGAGAGACUUAUAAGAGAGCUGUAAUACUGAAAUGAGAAUGUACAAAUUAGCGAUACGUCCAAUGUUGACCAAAAAAUUCGAGAAAAUUAUAAUGAAAGAAGACAUUGUAAAAUUAAUAAAAAACAUUAUUCAAAAUAACAGAUAAUGAAACUACCGAUAUUUUAAUAGAAAAACGUUGUUUCGAUUUCUCUGACUUUUCUUAUCUUGAAAGAGUCGUUUUAGCAACGAAAUAUAAUACAAUUACAUAAACAAGUACUGACAGAUAAUAUCAAUAAUUAGUUUCCUUCUAACACGGUACAUCACUUCAAAUUUAUUGAAAUGCUGAUCUCGAAUUUAAUAACACCUGGCAGUAUUCCAAGUUUUGCACCAAAUAAACGUAUUCGGACACAUGUACAGUAAAGCCCCAGAAAAAUUUUAUUACGAAAAAAAAAAUUAUUAUUUCAUUAUUAAUAAUGAAAUAGCUAUGGAAAUAUCAUAAGGCAUCAAGAAAAGUGAAUAUGGAAUAAACUGGAUAGUUUCAAAUUUAUAGACAAAUGAAAACACCCAAAUAAAUUUGAAUAAAGCUCUAGAUUGAAAAUUUUAUAGUCUUGGGUGUCUGCGGGUUAUCAAAGCAACAUGUCAAUAUGAAGUUAAAUCCACAAAAAAUGCAUUCGAAAUCUACUACCAAGACAAAAUCGAAAUGUUCUUUAAUAUAUAAUGGACUCUAUUCAUCAAUGCUAAAAAAACUUUCCAGAUAAAUAAUAGAUAAAUAAUUAUGAGUGAAUUCAGAUUUAUGGGAAUCAAAAUUUAGUAAACUAUUUUCCACUUCGAAAAGACAAAAGCAAGGAUCAAUUGGGUAAUGGGUGGUCAAGGACCAUUGCGUACAUUGACUCUCUGAUAGGUGAUAAAAAGCUUUGAAUCUUUUAACGUCACAAUGCAAACUGUAAGUUCUUGAAUCUUGCAAGUGUGAGUGCCGAGCACUCACCUAUAAUGUGAUCAUAAGCUUUUUUCUCCUCUAUGCAACAGCCACAUUCAUGAUUCGUGAUGUCCAUUGUAAGGACAUGAUGUCUGAGAUGACCGUGUCAUGCUAUGUGGCGCCUAACGAAUUUGAUGCCUCUUUGAGUUUCUUAGCUUAUCUUAUAUCAAGUGUUUCCAUCCAUAUUUGUCUACUUUGCGAGAAGACUACUAAGAGCAACACUUUUGGCUAACCAAGAAUGGGCUCUUGAAAUAUUGUUAGAUUUGCUCAACCCAAUUUGGUAAACAAAUAACGCUUGACAUUGCUCUUGUUGUCUGGGUGACUGAACGAGCUGGAUAUUGCAGUCAUCACACACUAGUUAUUGUAGGAUUUUCCACACUAGCACAAGAUUUGGGCAAACCGUUUUACCUGUUAUGGCUUGUACGGCAGCUCUACUGUCUCACUAGAUUACUGUGUUUCUAUGGAAGCGAUAGAGUCUCGCAGGUGCACAUUUCAUCACAGCGAAUACUCCAGCUUAGAAGACAUUAGAAUGUACUCAAAGAUGGUGUCCUCUACAGAAUUUUGCUCAGGCCAAGCCAUUCGUCUGUAUACCAGGUGGCUCCAUUAUUUAGUAUUGCAGGCCAAGAGUUACCCUCUGCUGUUCUCUGUCAUUAAUGUGUGCCUCCAAUCGCUUAUUGUUAACGGUUUCAGGCACCAUUUAGUUACUGCCCAUCAUAGUGCUUGAGAAUUUACCUGCAGCUUUCGUUUAGAUUUUCAAAUGUUUAAUACAGCUUGCAAGUCCGAGGUUAUAGUAUGCAAAACCUCGAAGAAAACUUUAGUUAGGAUAUUUUGCUUUUCCUAGCAUAUCCAAGAUAGAGACUAUUACAAGAAAAAUAAUAAACUCCCCACUCACCUAUUAUCCCGUGAAACACUACCUGGACCAAUACUACUCAUAACUUUAUUAAAUUACAGGAGGAUAAUUGAUGGAUAUAAAUAUCCAUUAUGCGAUAUUCAUUAUUUUGGAUUAUUUCUAAUAAUUUUUGAUAGCAUGUAGAAUUUGAUUUAUUACCACAUUUGUGAUUAUCUAAACUUACCUUUCCGUUAGCAACUGGCACCAGCAUUGCUAAAAGAAAUACACCUAGUAGAGGUCCAGAAGUAACCGAAGUCACCAACAUUGACGCUUCUAUCACACCAUCAAUCUUACUGACCAAAAAACUCAUCCCCAUUAUUAUCAACCCGUAGGCAACACUUAUGAAUUUGAUUGUCCAUAAUUGGUAGUAAUCUUUCAUUUUAUUCAAAGCUGGAAUUGGUUUCAAGAAAUCCUCGAAUGUUACAGUUGCUAAAGAAUUGACAAGAGACACAUUCAAACUAAAAAUUAAAAUGAUAUUGUCAGUUGUUUGUAGGUAUUAUUAUAUUAACUAUUCCAUUUAAUUAAUCAAUUUGAUAGACAUCAUCCUAAUCAAAUAGGAACUGUAGGUAUUGAAUACCAGAACUGAUUCUAGUCCCACAAAUUGUAAACAUGCAAGCAUAUCUCAGAUUUUUGCGCAGUUUGACAGUAGCAUGGUAUCUAACGAGUCGAAGUUAUCAGAUAGAUAAACAGGUUAAACUACAGUUUCUUGUGAAAGUGGGGGAAACUACCACAGAAAUUUAUAUAAUGUGAAAAAGGUCCUUCAAUUCGUAAAUUCAUUUUUUAACAUAUUAUACUAAAGAGUUCGUUAUAGUUAAAAAAAGUGCUUCUCGUACCACUAAAAAAAUUUUAUCGAAGUUGUUUUUUACCAUAUUUCAGAAAUCCUUGUGAACUUAACUCAUAUGCGAUCUACUCUUGGAAGCUGUUCUUAAUAAAAUAUUCAUAUUGCCUUUAAUGACGAAUUGAAUUUGUGCUUUGGAAUAAUGUUUGUAAAGUAUAUAUAUUUUGCAAUAAAAUUAUUUAAUACAAUAAA